RNAcentral lists this long non-coding RNA (1108 nucleotides) under Triticum aestivum (bread wheat). Its description in RNAcentral is "long non-coding RNA (TAES_LNC008175)". The record is from RNAcentral. Lineage: Eukaryota; Viridiplantae; Streptophyta; Magnoliopsida; Poales; Poaceae.
UUUUUUGUAUCUUUUAAUCUACAAAAUCAACAUACGAUGUUCCUUGAGGUCGUGUGUGUUUCCUCUAGUCCCCUAUCCCCAAGCUCUAGUGUCUUUUUUUCUUCUGUUUUAGCUUUUUUUUUGUUUUUGAUUUUUCUUUGUCUUUUUUACCAGGCUUUGUGGUUUUUGGUCUAGUUUUCCUUAUAAAUCGGGUCACUAUGUUCUUUUAUCUAUCUUAAUAAAAUCGACAGACCUCAACCCUUGCACUGUUUAAAAAUCUACAGAAUCGGCAUGUCCAAUAAAUCCAUUUUUCUAGAACUUUAUAAAUGAGCUACAACGUUAGCGAAGAUACCAUCUUUUUUGUCUUGUAAUUAAAUUGGUCUAAUUUCCGUUCAAGUCAGACAACACAAUAUGUGCAUAAGAUGCCUAGAUGAUCCUAUACAAUCCUAUAGAUGUUUUUAUCUUGAGAAAACCUCAUUAGGAUGGCCAAGAGCUAAGCUCAACUUUGACUAUGAAAUAUGCCAGCCUUUUAGGACAGGUAAUUCCGAAAAUACAUAUAUCUUCUAAACCAUCAUGAUAAAAAUUCUGAAACAUCCACAAACAGCCCAGCCUCAAAGAUAGCUAGGACUUUGUAUAUAUAGCUCAUCAAAACCACUGCAACAGACAGUCAGACAUGCUACCCAAUAAUCUGUCCGCACGCACCACACUAAGUUUAAUAGCACCCUGAAUUCCCAUCAAACAAUGAUACAUGGUAAUAGCACUCUGAAAUUCCAUCAAACAAUGAUACACGACAAUAGCACUCUGAAUUGCUAUCAAACAUCUAUAAUAGCUCUGUACAUUGUUUCACAAGAUUAAUGUAAUCUGGCAGAAAUCCAGAUAUAAUAAAAUCUAUUGGCAAGAAUUAAAUUUCAGCUGACAAAAAUAAUUUAAUUUCAACAUUAUUAUAAAAGAUCCAUACAUUGUCCCCAAGCUCUAGUUUUUUUUCCUGUUUUUUGCUUUUUUUGUCUUUCUUUUUUCUUGGUCUUUUUUAUCAGGCUUUGUGGUUUUUGGUCUAGUUUUCCUUAUAAAUCGGGUCACUAUGUUUUUUUAUCUAUCUUAUAAAAUCGACAGACCUCAACCCUUGCACUGU